ACAGAGGUCCAAAGAGAGGACAAGUGCUCCCACCUUUUUAGGUGACUUAACAAAACCGAUGUUUUUCACUCUCUUCCCCAUCCACUGAGGGGUUGCAUGUAAGCUGACAGGUCAGGUUUGAUCAGGCAGUCAUAUGUGAGUGGUUGGGAGAUUUGUUGAUAAGGCACAAGGAACAAAAUGAAAAUGAGGCAAGGUGGUAUCCUUAAGCAACAAUUUGUUCUGUUUCACUGGUAGAUAGAUUUGAAUUACUCUGCUGUCUUUCCAUGAUUUGCAGAUCACUGCAGGUAACCUGCUAAAGUUGUUUAUAGGCUGUAAAAUACAGGUCAGAAAAAUCUAAUGGUGAGGGCGCCAAGGCUCAGGUUUUCUCUUUUUUGUUUGAAUAAAUAGUAUUGUUCAGGGCAUUUUCUCCUGUUUUUCCAUUCCCAAGUAUUUUGUUGAGCACCUGCCAUGCAUACUAUGUAUUCAUUAUCUUAUUUCAUUUCCAUUUUACAGAUUAUGAAACUGAGGCUCAGAGAGGUUAAGUAACUUACUUGGGAGUGAGUGGAGAAUAGAUUCAAAUCAAGGUUCAUCUGAUUCUACAUCCUAUGCUCUUAAGCCCUUUCUCAGAACACUAGCCGACAAGGCCUAAAAAACCACCAGAAGAUCUAAAGUCUAAACCAUGUAAAACACUGAUGAAAUAAAUAGCAAUUCCUCCUCUGAAUGCUGCAAAUGACUGGUCUCAGCCUGCACUGUUUCCAUCAUCCUGUAAUGAAGUAUUAAAUGUAUAUAAUAGAUCCGAGGAUUUCCUAGGUGUUCAGAGAGUCAGCUGGAUCCCAGAUACUUUCGAUUCAGAAACAAAUCUCCUACUGAAUAAUAUUUGAAAGUCCUGGAGUUCCUAUCGUGGCUCAGUGGUUAACAAACCUGACUAGGAUCCAUGAAGACGUGGGUUUGAUCCCCUGGACUUGCUCAGUGGGUUAAGGAUCCAGUGUUGCCGUGAGCUGUGGUGUAGGCUGCAGACAGAGCUCGGAUCCUGUGUUGCUGUGGCUGUGGUGUAGGCUGGCAGCUACAGCUCUGAUCUGGCCUCGGAAGCUCCAUAUGCUGUGGAUACAGCUCUAAAAAGACCAAAGACCAAAAAAAAAAAAAAAAAAUUGUGAAAGUCCUGAAGCCUGAUCACCUUAGCAAGAUUUCCUAGCUGACUUAGAGGCUGGUUCUCUUAUGAAUCAGUCAAUGGCGUGCACUUCAGGCCAUUCUGGCCCCAGGUCAUCAAGGAGCCCAUUUU
RNAcentral lists this long non-coding RNA (1258 nucleotides) under Sus scrofa (pig). RNAcentral's name for it is "lncRNA (ENSSSCG00015036951.1)". The record is from RNAcentral. Lineage: Eukaryota; Metazoa; Chordata; Mammalia; Artiodactyla; Suidae.